Molecule: transfer RNA, 74 nt
Filed under: Phycisphaerae bacterium
Lineage: Bacteria; Pseudomonadati; Planctomycetota; Phycisphaerae
Description: tRNA-His
Rfam family: tRNA
About the family: Transfer RNA (tRNA) molecules are approximately 80 nucleotides in length.
Source: RNAcentral
GCGAUCGUAGCUCAGUCGGCUAGAGCACCUGGUUGUGGUCCAGGGGGUCGCGGGUUCGAAUCCCGUCGGUCGCC